UCCCUGGUGGCUCAGAAGGUAAAGCAUCUGCCUGCAGUGCGGGAGACCCUGGUUUGAUCCCUGGGUUGGGAA
RNAcentral lists this transfer RNA (72 nucleotides) under Ovis aries (sheep). It matches the Rfam family "tRNA". Rfam says of the family: Transfer RNA (tRNA) molecules are approximately 80 nucleotides in length. Their secondary structure includes four short double-helical elements and three loops (D, anti-codon, and T loops). Lineage: Eukaryota; Metazoa; Chordata; Mammalia; Artiodactyla; Bovidae. The record is from Rfam by way of RNAcentral.